RNAcentral lists this ribosomal RNA (472 nucleotides) under uncultured bacterium. RNAcentral describes it as "bacterial SSU rRNA". It matches the Rfam family "Bacterial small subunit ribosomal RNA", at positions 28 to 483 of the family's 1533-position model. The record is from RNAcentral.
GACGAACGCUGGCGGCGUGCCUAAUACAUGCAAGUAGAACGCUGAAGACUUUAGCUUGCUAAAGUUGGAAGAGUUGCGAACGGGUGAGUAACGCGUAGGUAACCUGCCUACUAGCGGGGGAUAACUAUUGGAAACGAUAGCUAAUACCGCAUAACAGCAUUUAACCCAUGUUAGAUGCUUGAAAGGAGCAAUUGCUUCACUAGUAGAUGGACCUGCGUUGUAUUAGCUAGUUGGUGAGGUAACGGCUCACCAAGGCGACGAUACAUAGCCGACCUGAGAGGGUGAUCGGCCACACUGGGACUGAGACACGGCCCAGACUCCUACGGGAGGCAGCAGUAGGGAAUCUUCGGCAAUGGGGGCAACCCUGACCGAGCAACGCCGCGUGAGUGAAGAAGGUUUUCGGAUCGUAAAGCUCUGUUGUAAGAGAAGAACGUGUGUGAGAGUGGAAAGUUCACACAGUGACGGUAACUAC